GAUGAAGAACGUAGCGAAAUGCGAUAAGUAAUGUGAAUUGCAGAAUUCAGUGAAUCAUCGAAUCUUUGAACGCACAUUGCGCCCGCCAGCACUCUGGCGGGCAUGCCUGUUCGAGCGUCAUUUCGACCAUCAGGCCCUCCGGGCUUGUGUUGGGGCUCCCUGCGGCUGUCCGCAGGCCCUGAAAACCAGUGGCGGGCUUGCAAAGUCACACCGAGCGCAGUAGAUUUUUUUCAUCUCGCUCAGGGCGUGCGUGCGGGCGCCGGCCGUAAAAGACGAGAGCGCGGCCUCGGCCGCCCACAAAUACCACAAGGUUGACCUCGGAUCAGGUAGGAAUACCCGCUGAACUUAAGCAUAUCAUAAGCGGAGGA
RNAcentral lists this unclassified non-coding RNA (368 nucleotides) under soil metagenome. RNAcentral's name for it is "partial contains 5.8S ribosomal RNA, internal transcribed spacer 2, and large subunit ribosomal RNA". The stretch from base 1 to 120 matches the Rfam family "5.8S ribosomal RNA", at positions 35 to 154 of the family's 154-position model. The record is from RNAcentral.